Molecule: ribosomal RNA, 910 nt
Filed under: Bacillus stercoris
Lineage: Bacteria; Bacillati; Bacillota; Bacilli; Caryophanales; Bacillaceae
Description: bacterial SSU rRNA
Rfam family: Bacterial small subunit ribosomal RNA
Source: RNAcentral
CGGGCGAGUGCUAUAAUGCAGUCGAGCGGACAGAUGGGAGCUUGCUCCCUGAUGUUAGCGGCGGACGGGUGAGUAACACGUGGGUAACCUGCCUGUAAGACUGGGAUAACUCCGGGAAACCGGGGCUAAUACCGGAUGCUUGUUUGAACCGCAUGGUUCAAACAUAAAAGGUGGCUUCGGCUACCACUUACAGAUGGACCCGCGGCGCAUUAGCUAGUUGGUGAGGUAAUGGCUCACCAAGGCGACGAUGCGUAGCCGACCUGAGAGGGUGAUCGGCCACACUGGGACUGAGACACGGCCCAGACUCCUACGGGAGGCAGCAGUAGGGAAUCUUCCGCAAUGGACGAAAGUCUGACGGAGCAACGCCGCGUGAGUGAUGAAGGUUUUCGGAUCGUAAAGCUCUGUUGUUAGGGAAGAACAAGUACCGUUCGAAUAGGGCGGUACCUUGACGGUACCUAACCAGAAAGCCACGGCUAACUACGUGCCAGCAGCCGCGGUAAUACGUAGGUGGCAAGCGUUGUCCGGAAUUAUUGGGCGUAAAGGGCUCGCAGGCGGUUCCUUAAGUCUGAUGUGAAAGCCCCCGGCUCAACCGGGGAGGGUCAUUGGAAACUGGGGAACUUGAGUGCAGAAGAGGAGAGUGGAAUUCCACGUGUAGCGGUGAAAUGCGUAGAGAUGUGGAGGAACACCAGUGGCGAAGGCGACUCUCUGGUCUGUAACUGACGCUGAGGAGCGAAAGCGUGGGGAGCGAACAGGAUUAGAUACCCUGGUAGUCCACGCCGUAAACGAUGAGUGCUAAGUGUUAGGGGGUUUCCGCCCCUUAGUGCUGCAGCUAACGCAUUAAGCACUCCGCCUGGGGAGUACGGUCGCAAGACUGAAACUCAAAGGAAUUGACGGGGGCCCGCACAAGCGG